AAGGGUAUAACUCUGGUAGAGCACGUGCUUAGCAUGCACGAGGUCCUGGGUUCAAUCCCCAGCACCUCUG
This 70-nucleotide transfer RNA is filed under the name Camelus bactrianus (Bactrian camel). It matches the Rfam family "tRNA". Rfam says of the family: Transfer RNA (tRNA) molecules are approximately 80 nucleotides in length. Their secondary structure includes four short double-helical elements and three loops (D, anti-codon, and T loops). Lineage: Eukaryota; Metazoa; Chordata; Mammalia; Artiodactyla; Camelidae. RNAcentral also lists the same sequence under 2 other names. The record is from Rfam by way of RNAcentral.